AUACGGAGGAUGCGAGCGUUAUCCGGAUUUAUUGGGUUUAAAGGGAGCGUAGGUGGGAUAUUAAGUCAGCUGUGAAAGUUUGGGGCUCAACCUUAAAAUUGCAGUUGAUACUGGUUUCCUUGAGUACGGUACAGGUGGGCGGAAUUCGUGGUGUAGCGGUGAAAUGCUUAGAUAUCACGAAGAACUCCGAUCGCGAAGGCAGCUCACCGGGCCGGAACUGACACUGAUGCUCGAAAGUGCGGGUAUCAAACAGGAUUAGAUACCCUGGUAGUCCACACAGUAAACGAUGAAUACUCGCUGUUUGCGAUAUACAGCAAGCGGCCAAGCGAAAGCAUUAAGUAUUCCACCUGGGGAGUACGCCGGCAACGGUGAAACUCAAAGGAACUGACGGG
RNAcentral lists this ribosomal RNA (392 nucleotides) under uncultured bacterium. RNAcentral describes it as "partial 16S ribosomal RNA". It matches the Rfam family "Bacterial small subunit ribosomal RNA", at positions 523 to 917 of the family's 1533-position model. The record is from RNAcentral.